UACGUAGGGUCCUAGCGUUGUCCGGAAUUAUUGGGCGUAAAGGGCUCGUAGGCGGUCUGUCGCGUCGGGAGUGAAAACUCAGGGCUUAACCCUGAGCCUGCUUCCGAUACGGGCAGACUAGAGGUAUGCAGGGGGAGAACGGAAUUCCUGGUGUAGCGGUGAAAUGCGUAGAUAUCUGGAGGAACACCGGUGGCGAAGGCGGCAAUCCUGGACCGGCAUUGACGCUGAGGCGGCGAAAGCUAGGGGAGCAACGGGG
This 256-nucleotide ribosomal RNA is filed under the name uncultured bacterium. Its description in RNAcentral is "partial 16S ribosomal RNA". It matches the Rfam family "Bacterial small subunit ribosomal RNA", at positions 524 to 776 of the family's 1533-position model. The record is from RNAcentral.